CAAUGUAAGAAUAGAAUGAAUAAAAGUAUCCAGGACAACACACUUUCUGCACCACGUCAUCCAGCCAGCUUCCCAUAAUCCCUUUCUCAUCGUCUCUCUUUCCACAUAGUAGCAAUACUCCCCGACGUUACACCUGCACCACACGAGUAUUUUUGAUUACAUCUUUCUUUCAGGUGAGUACAUAUGUUGGUCUACGAGGGACACCGGCGAGGGAGCACCUUUAGCCUACGUGAGUGUUAGCCUUCAUUGGUUACGUUAGGGAAAGCCUGUACUAAUUUUGCCUUCCCUUUCAGGUCAAGUAAACUAUUUCUCUCAGUUUCUUUCAGGCAGGAUCCACGUGCAUCCCUUCGUUACGUGUCAUUUUUCUGCAGUUACGUGUCGGUUUUCUGCAGCCGUCACCUGUUCGCUCUCAGCAGUCUGUCGCCAAGGCUCCAGGUAGUCGCUGCUCCAUCACUUGUAUGAACAUAUCAGCAUAAGUGAUCAAGGAAAGAAGGCAGGAGUGCGCCAGAAAAUGUUUCCUGAAGUCUUUGACCUCUGCUUCUGACUUGCCUGAGGGACAGACUGAACUCGGUGCAUCAGUUCAGGCUAGUUUCUUUGUCUCCCUCCGCUUACACCUCCUCGAGCACUAACACUGACGUUGCCAUGGAAAGAAAUGUGUGCAAGAGGCCCAAACAAGAAGAGACACAGCCAGCUGCCUCUCACCCUAACAUUUUUCUUUCAUUCUUGUCCGCGAGUUUCGAGUUAAAAGUUGUUACGAAUCCGGUAAAUUUACGGGCGAUUCUGGCUGGCCUCCCGAUGCCUUGGUGUGCUGGGUGCGAACACUGCUGCUGUUGGAGCUUGUUUCUCACGGACGCCAGAAGUUUGUCUUCCUGGAUUAGUUUUCUGCGCCUCAUGUCUACGUGUCUCCCGUGAGAAUGACACGUGCCGCACCUUACCAAGCGGACUCCUCACUAGAAAUUGCACACGUUUAUGUAUUUAUUUUGUUAUUUAGGUACAUAAAUAAGGUCAAGUUAAAGAAUGGGCCUCGUAGCAAUGGUAAAAACCUUCAUCAUCCAGCAACGCCUGUAUCGGGCGAGGCUGUGGGAAUUAAUUGUGUUCAUGUAUGCUUUUAGACCUUAUCAAAAGUAUCUCAUGUUAGUAUAAAUCAUGACAGCUAAACAAAUAUAUCUACCUACACGGGGUAAGAAAAGACAGAGACUUAAGGAUAGACCGAUAGAUACAGACACAGUAAAUAGAUAGACAGAUAGAG
Scylla paramamosain (green mud crab) is the source of this 1249-nucleotide long non-coding RNA. RefSeq lists it as uncharacterized. Lineage: Eukaryota; Metazoa; Arthropoda; Malacostraca; Decapoda; Portunidae. The record is from RefSeq and is a predicted model, not a curated record. The transcript has 4 exons.